GCCUCCCUCCGCCGCCACUCACGACUCCUACCGGACGGCGAGCGAGGUGGGGUAAGUUUUGUCACAAUGGGCGGCGAACGCCUGAUGCAGCGACGCCGCGUGGAGGGAGUGACUGCUUCGGUUGUAACUCUUCAGCAGGACGAAGCGAAGUGACGGUACCUGCAGAAGAAGCACCGGCCAACUACGUGCCAGCAGCCGCGGUAAUAC
This 207-nucleotide ribosomal RNA is filed under the name uncultured bacterium. RNAcentral describes it as "partial 16S ribosomal RNA". It matches the Rfam family "Bacterial small subunit ribosomal RNA", at positions 304 to 526 of the family's 1533-position model. The record is from RNAcentral.